RNAcentral lists this long non-coding RNA (349 nucleotides) under Helianthus annuus (common sunflower). RNAcentral describes it as "sRNA HanXRQr2_Chr11g0509701". Lineage: Eukaryota; Viridiplantae; Streptophyta; Magnoliopsida; Asterales; Asteraceae. The record is from RNAcentral.
UUGUAAAACGAAAAUUAGAUAUCCUGUUUUUUACUAAAUUCUUUCAAUUAUCUUUUGUAGUUGUAGAGGAAUGACCGGAAUUGGUCAUUCCGGGUCGGUCAAAUCCGUGAUAAACACAUUACAAAUAUACAUACAAAUUUUGAACCUCUUUCAUCUAAUGGCUGACUCUUAACAUUCCCGCUAUAGCUUCGGAUCUUGAAAAGGGCAUAUUAAAGGUUUUGGCAACUCAAAGGAUAUGCAUCUUCAAAGGGACUCGACUAUCUUUAAAUUGUAUUUCCACUUUGUCACUAAUUUAUCCCGGGAAGCAAUCCCGGGUGAUAACCUAGUUUCUAUUAAAUCAAGACAUUGA